AACGAACGCUGGCGGCAGGCCUAACACAUGCAAGUCGAGCGAGGACUUCGGUCCUAGCGGCGGACGGGUGAGUAACGCGUGGGAACGUGCCCUUUGCUUCGGAAUAGCCCUGGGAAACUGGGAGUAAUACCGGAUGAGCCCUUAGGGGGAAAGAUUUAUCGGCGAAGGAUCGGCCCGCGUUGGAUUAGGUAGUUGGUGGGGUAAUGGCCUACCAAGCCGACGAUCCAUAGCUGGUUUGAGAGGAUGAUCAGCCACACUGGGACUGAGACACGGCCCAGACUCCUACGGGAGGCAGCAGUGGGGAAUCUUAGACAAUGGGGGAAACCCUGAUCUAGCCAUGCCGCGUGAGCGAUGAAGGCCUUAGGGUUGUAAAGCUCUUUCAGCUGGGAAGAUAAUGACGGUACCAGCAGAAGAAGCCCCGGCUAACUCCGUG
RNAcentral lists this ribosomal RNA (433 nucleotides) under uncultured bacterium. Its description in RNAcentral is "partial 16S ribosomal RNA". It matches the Rfam family "Bacterial small subunit ribosomal RNA", at positions 29 to 507 of the family's 1533-position model. The record is from RNAcentral.